Molecule: ribosomal RNA, 253 nt
Filed under: uncultured bacterium
Lineage: Bacteria
Description: partial 16S ribosomal RNA
Rfam family: Bacterial small subunit ribosomal RNA
Source: RNAcentral
UACGUAGGGGGCGAGCGUUGUCCGGAAUCACUGGGCGUAAAGCGCACGUAGGCGGAUUUGUCAGUCAGGGGUGAAAUCCCGGGGCUCAACCUCGGAACUGCCUUUGAUACAGCAAGUCUUGAGUUCGAGAGAGGUGGGUGGAAUUCCUAGUGUAGAGGUGAAAUUCGUAGAUAUUAGGAAGAACACCGGUGGCGAAGGCGGCCCACUGGCUCGAUACUGACGCUGAGGUGCGAAAGCGUGGGGAGCAAACAGG